This 255-nucleotide ribosomal RNA is filed under the name uncultured bacterium. RNAcentral's name for it is "partial 16S ribosomal RNA". It matches the Rfam family "Bacterial small subunit ribosomal RNA", at positions 524 to 776 of the family's 1533-position model. The record is from RNAcentral.
UACAGAGGUCCCGAGCGUUGUUCGGAUUCACUGGGCGUAAAGGGUGCGUAGGUGGUUGGGUAAGUUUGAUGUGAAAGCUCAGGGCUUAACCCUGAAAUGGCAUUGAAUACUACUCAACUGGAGGUUUGGAGGGGGGACUGGAAUUCUUGGUGUAGCAGUGAAAAUGCGUAGAUAUCAAGAGGAACACCAGUGGCGAAGGCGGCUCACUGGCCCGAAUACUGACGCUGAGGCACGAAAGCGUGGGGAGCAAACAGG